UGUAAGUCAGUUUCCGCAAAGACAUAAUAUUUAGUUUAAAAAUUAUACUACAUAAUUUCUCUACUUCAUUUUUAUAUGUGUGGCAACACUGUUAAUGACACAAAAAUUUUCGUUCGUUCACUGGAAUUUUGGUACUUCUCCCGUUUAUUGUAGAGUAUAAAACUUAGUAGUGUGGAUAUGUUGGAUAAGGUUUUAAAAAAGAAACCACAUACAAUGCUGUAUAAAACUUCAUUCGAUGAAAAUGCAGAGUUUAAAACAUUAGAUUUACCCCCAUCUGAGGAAGACCAUGAAAAUUUGAAAAAUACAAUACAAGCACCUUUAUAUCAUCAUGCCAGGCCCAUCACAUCCGAAAAAUUCAACGAUAUGAUGGAUCUAUUACGUUAUAUUUCUCCAAUACAUCAUGAC
Molecule: long non-coding RNA, 405 nt
Filed under: Androctonus crassicauda
Lineage: Eukaryota; Metazoa; Arthropoda; Arachnida; Scorpiones; Buthidae
Source: RNAcentral